RNAcentral lists this ribosomal RNA (532 nucleotides) under Ceratitis anonae. Its description in RNAcentral is "partial 16S ribosomal RNA". The stretch from base 391 to 532 matches the Rfam family "Bacterial large subunit ribosomal RNA", at positions 2473 to 2614 of the family's 2925-position model. The record is from RNAcentral. Lineage: Eukaryota; Metazoa; Arthropoda; Insecta; Diptera; Tephritidae.
GUCUUUUUGAGUUAUUUUUAAAGUCUGACCUGCCCACUGAAUAUUUUUAAAUGGCCGCAGUAUUCUAACUGUGCAAAGGUAGCAUAAUCAUUAGUCUUUUAAUUGAAGGCUGGUAUGAACGGUUGGACGAAGUAUAAGCUGUUUCAUAUAAAAUUAUAUUAGAAUUUUAUAUUUUAGUUAAAAAGCUAAAAUAUUAUUAAAAGACGAGAAGACCCUAUAAAUCUUUAUAUUUAAUAUUAUUCAAAUUUUUUUGAUUAAUUUUAUUUUUAUAAUAUUAAAUAUUUUGUUGGGGUGAUAUUAAAAUUUAACAAACUUUUAAUUUUGAAUUAGANCAUUAAUUUAUGAAUAGUUGAUCCAUUAUUAAUGAUUAUAAGAUUAAGUUACUUUAGGGAUAACAGCGUAAUUUUUUUUGAGAGUUCAUAUCGACAAAAAAGUUUGCGACCUCGAUGUUGGAUUAAGAUAUAUAUUUAGGUGUAGCCGUUUAAAUAUUAAGUCUGUUCGACUUUUAAAUUCUUACAUGAUCUGAGUUCAA